Long non-coding RNA from Mercenaria mercenaria, 830 nucleotides. RefSeq lists it as uncharacterized. The record is from RefSeq and is a predicted model, not a curated record. The transcript is spliced from 3 exons. Lineage: Eukaryota; Metazoa; Mollusca; Bivalvia; Venerida; Veneridae.
AAUGAAGCGUUGAGAAAUGUUCAUAAACAACAUGUACAGUUUCGGGAUAUAUCCAGAUUGUAUGUUUGUACACUGUUGUACAAAAGUAUGGCAGUGAAUUUUCGAUAUUAUAAUUCAUCAGCUUCAAACCUGUCACUUUUGAACCAAUCAAACACACAGUCGAGGGUACUACGUCAUAUUGAAUGUGUUUUCUUUACCAAAUAUGGGAUUACGUAAACACAACCAUAUGUUGUUACACUACGUGUGACAAUUUUAUGUUAUCGGGCAUAUAUUUAUUGGAUUCAGAUAUGCAGCCGUCACAGCCUGCUGAUGAAGAUCCUCAGCUUAUACAGAGGUCAGGCUUGAGCUAUGUGCUGAUUCAAAAGAUGUUAAUGACAGUGGAUAAUCCAUUCUGAGCUGUUCUAGGACCAUUCACCAAGGUUCCAAAACACUGAUGGAUCUGAAGGCAGUACCUGUAUUGGUGUCUGGUCUGUGAUUUCAAGUAUAAUUGAUGUACCUCCUCCUGAUGUAUCUCCUCGAAUACAAUAUAUCUGCCAUGUGAAAGGAACAAGCUGCAAGAUAUACUGUAGAAGUGGGGGCCUAUGUAAAAAACAUUUUAUUUAAAGAAUAUAAAAAAUCUGACACUAAACUACUGAAAAGGUGCACAGGGACAUUUUUGUGUGUAUAGACUUUCAUCAAGAUUCUGAGAAAGUUGAUUUAUCAAACAGAAAUAGUCAGAUUGUGUCUUCAAAGCUGAAAAGAUUAAGAUCUUAGGAAAACAUUUGGACUCAAGAAAAGUAUUGCGCUUAUGAAACUGUAGUGUUCAACAUUUAAAUUGUUUUUUUUUUUUU